RNAcentral lists this ribosomal RNA (128 nucleotides) under uncultured eukaryote. RNAcentral's name for it is "partial small subunit ribosomal RNA". It matches the Rfam family "Eukaryotic small subunit ribosomal RNA", at positions 1651 to 1774 of the family's 1831-position model. The record is from RNAcentral.
CCCUGCCAUUUGUACACACCGCCCGUCGCUCCUACCGAUUGAAUGAUCCGGUGAAGUGCUCGGAUUGUAGCGAUGCCAGCGGUCCGCCGCUGGCGACGAUAUAAGAAGUUCAUUUAACCUUAUCAUUU